Molecule: ribosomal RNA, 274 nt
Filed under: uncultured bacterium
Lineage: Bacteria
Description: partial 16S ribosomal RNA
Rfam family: Bacterial small subunit ribosomal RNA
Source: RNAcentral
AUACUGAGGGUGCAAGCGUUAAUCGGAAUUACUGGGCGUAAAGCGCGCGUAGGCGGUAAGUUAAGUUGGAUGUGAAAUCCCUGGGCUCAACCUAGGAACUGCAUUCAAAACUGGCUCACUAGAGUAUGGUAGAGGUAAAUGGAAUUCCAGGUGUAGCGGUGAAAUGCGUAGAUAUCUGGAGGAACAUCAGUGGCGAAGGCGACUUACUGGGCCAAUACUGACGCUGAGGCGCGAAAGCAUGGGUAGCAAACGGGAUUAGAAACCCCAGUAGUCC